CCCUCUUAUUCCACCACCAUCAAUGCUGAGAACAGUGAUUAGGUUUCCGUAAGUUGGAGGUUGUAGGGGUACAUUUAUUGAGCCCAUUGGGAUAAAGAUGCAGGUAAGGAGAGAGAGAGAGAGAGAGAGAGAGAGAGAGAGA
Quercus robur (English oak) is the source of this 142-nucleotide long non-coding RNA. RefSeq lists it as uncharacterized. The transcript has 2 exons. NCBI's taxonomy places the organism in Eukaryota, Viridiplantae, Streptophyta, Magnoliopsida, Fagales, Fagaceae. The record is from RefSeq and is a predicted model, not a curated record.